Molecule: ribosomal RNA, 2083 nt
Filed under: Microbulbifer sp. Q7
Lineage: Bacteria; Pseudomonadati; Pseudomonadota; Gammaproteobacteria; Cellvibrionales; Microbulbiferaceae
Description: bacterial LSU rRNA
Rfam family: Bacterial large subunit ribosomal RNA
Source: RNAcentral
UCAAGCGACUAAGCGUAUACGGUGGAUGCCUUGGCAGCUGGAGGCGAUGAAGGACGUAGGAGCCUGCGAAAAGUCUAGGGGAGCUGGCACACAAGCUUUGAUCCUGGAAUGUCCGAAUGGGGAAACCCACUCCUUUUAGGAGUAUCCCUAACUGAAUACAUAGGUUAGGGAGGCGAACCCGGGGAACUGAAACAUCUAAGUACCCGGAGGAAAAGAAAUCAACCGAGAUUCCCUGAGUAGCGGCGAGCGAAAGGGGAUUAGCCCUUAAGGUCUUUAUGUCUUAGUGGAAGGAUCUGGAAAGUUCCGCGAUACAGGGUGAUAGCCCCGUACACGAAAAGGCACAUUGAUUGAAAUCGAGUAGGUCGGGACACGUGUUAUCUUGACUGAACAUGGGGGGACCAUCCUCCAAGGCUAAAUACUCCCAGCUGACCGAUAGUGAACCAGUACCGUGAGGGAAAGGCGAAAAGAACCCCGGAGAGGGGAGUGAAAUAGAACCUGAAACCGUAUACGUACAAGCAGUAGGAGCCCUUCGGGGUGACUGCGUACCUUUUGUAUAAUGGGUCAGCGACUUAUUGUCUGUAGCAAGGUUAACCGCAUAGGGGAGCCGUAGAGAAAUCGAGUCUUAAUAGGGCGUUUAGUUGCAGGCAAUAGACCCGAAACCCGGCGAUCUAUCCAUGGGCAGGUUGAAGGUUGAGUAACAUCAACUGGAGGACCGAACUCACUAAUGUUGAAAAAUUAGGAGAUGACCUGUGGAUCGGAGUGAAAGGCUAAUCAAGCCGGGAGAUAGCUGGUUCUCCUCGAAAGCUAUUUAGGUAGCGCCUCGCGUCUCACCCUCGGGGGUAGAGCACUGUUUGGGCUAGGGGGUCAUCCCGACUUACCAACCCCAUGCAAACUCCGAAUACCGAGGAGUGCAAUCGCGGGAGACACACGGCGGGUGCUAACGUCCGUCGUGAAAAGGGAAACAACCCAGACCGCCAGCUAAGGUCCCAAAUAUCAGUUAAGUGGGAAACGAUGUGGGAAGGCCCAGACAGCUAGGAGGUUGGCUUAGAAGCAGCCAUCCUUUAAAGAAAGCGUAAUAGCUCACUAGUCGAGUCGGCCCGCGCGGAAGAUAUACCGGGGCUCAAACUGAUAACCGAAGCUGCGGAUGCUCUUAGGAGCAUGGUAGAGGAGCGUUGUGUAAGCCGCUGAAGGUGGACUGUGAGGUCUGCUGGAGGUAUCACAAGUGCGAAUGCUGACAUGAGUAACGACAAGGGGGGUGAAAAACCUCCCCGCCGGAAGACCAAGGGUUCCUGUCCAACGCUAAUCGGGACAGGGUUAGUCGGCCCCUAAGGCGAGGGCGAAAGCCGUAGUCGAUGGGAAACAGGUUAAUAUUCCUGUACUUGCAAUUGCUGCGAUGGAGUGACGGAGAAGGCUAGGCCAGCAUGGCGAUUGGUUGUCCAUGUUUAAGGUUGUAGGCUGGGGACUUAGGCAAAUCCGGGUCCCUAAGGCUGAGAGCUGAUGACGAAGCUUACUUCGGUAAGUGAAGUGGUUGAUGCCCUGCUUCCAGGAAAAACUUCUAAGCUUCAGGCAAUUGCGAACCGUACUCUAAACCGACACAGGUGGUCAGGGAGAGAAUACCAAGGCGCUUGAGAGAACUCUGGUGAAGGAACUAGGCAAAAUGGUACCGUAACUUCGGGAGAAGGUACGCCGGUUUUGGUGAUGGGACUUGCUCCCUAAGCUGAGGCCGGUCGAAGUGACCAGGUGGCUGCGACUGUUUAUAAAAAACAUAGCACUCUGCAAACACGUAAGUGGACGUAUAGGGUGUCACGCCUGCCCGGUGCCGGAAGGUUAAUUGAUGGGCUUAGCUUCGGCGAAGCUCUUGAUCGAAGCCCCGGUAAACGGCGGCCGUAACUAUAACGGUCCUAAGGUAGCGAAAUUCCUUGUCGGGUAAGUUCCGUCCUGCACGAAUGGCGUAACGAUGGCCACGCUGUCUCCACCAGAGACUCAGUGAAAUUGAAAUCGCUGUUAAGAUGCAGUGUACCCGCGGCUAGACGGAAAGACCCCGUGAACCUUUACUACAGCUUUGCACUGAACUUUGAGCCUA